GAUGAACGCUGGCGGCGUGCCUAAUACAUGCAAGUCGAACGGGGAGUAUUAAUUUCGAUUUUUACUCCUAGUGGCGAACGGGUGAGUAACGCGUUGGUGACCUGCCCCGAAGAGGGGGAUAACUCCGCGAAAGCGGAGCUAAUACCCCAUGUGGUCUUUCAGGUUAGAGGCUGAAUGACUAAAGGAGCAAUCCACUUCGGGAGGGGCCUGCGUCCCAUCAGCUAGUUGGUAGGGUAACGGCCUACCAAGGCGAUGACGGGUAGGGGCCUGAGACGGGUGGCCCCCCACACUGGCACUGAAACACGGGCCAGACACCUACGGGUGGCAGCAGUAGGGAAUAUUGCACAAUGGGCGAAAGCCUGAUGCAGCAACGCCGCGUGCGCGAAGAAGGCCUUCGGGUUGUAAAGCGCUUUUCUGGAGGAAGAGGAAGGACGGUACUCCAGGAAUAAGGAUCGGCUAACUACGUG
This 467-nucleotide ribosomal RNA is filed under the name uncultured bacterium. RNAcentral's name for it is "bacterial SSU rRNA". It matches the Rfam family "Bacterial small subunit ribosomal RNA", at positions 28 to 507 of the family's 1533-position model. The record is from RNAcentral.